CUUUUCUAUUUCAGAAUUGAUCCUCCAAAAUUUGAAUGCUUAGACCGAAAAUAUGUGGUUAUACUUUUGGAUCUAUGUUAAUUAUGGUUACCUUCAUCAAUAAUUAGUCCUUGAUCGUUUUGCAUCAGCGAGCUCUGCUGCUAACAAGUGUGGAUGAACAAAAUAGUGAGAUAAACCCUAAAUCGAGAUUUCGAUUGUAGGGUUUGUUAUCUAAUUACUUUUACUUUUGGCUCUGCAUUUUAUUAAUCAGGAAUUUCUUAGUGUUUUAUGGGAUUUUUCAACCAAUCAUGCUACUGAUUAAGCUAAAUUUCUGAACGGUCAAGCAUAUUUCACCACUACUGAAAUUCAUGUCCUUUAUUAAAUGAUUUCUUGUUCUUUGCGUUAUUCUUGAUUGGGAUUUUGUGUUGAAAUAAUGUUUUGCUUCCUACACUGUCUCCUUGAUGUGGUGAGAGGAUGGGAAGAGCGUGUGAUUUCUCAGAGAAAGGGCAGCCGCAUUGUUCACUUUACCUUAAGGGACUCUACUGGGAGUUACCUCCUUGUUGUGGUCGGGGUAGAAAGGAAUGCAAAUUGUAUAAUCUAUUUGAUGGGAAUAAGGAGUUACCUCCUUGUUGUGGUCGGGCUUCAAGUUUCUCACAUCAGUGACCUCAGGAAGCUGUUCAAUCUUAUGCCUCACUGCCUUUGUGCCUCAUGUAUAAUGGAGUCGAAGGUCUUCAUAUUAAAGUUACAGAGUUUGCCUCGUCUGUGGUCCUGGUGUUCUAGUCGAGUUGGAGAAGUCUAUUACUUUAAAAAAGUUCAUCUAUCAACUAGAAGAUCACCCUCGUCUGCUCCUGACUAGAUGGAGCGUCUCAUACAGGGGGAAAAGGUUAUACACGCAAGCACCUCCUGAAUUAGAAAAGGACACUCGAUCUAACCUAGAUGUCCCUCUAUUCGAUCUUAUGAAUGGAGUAUCCAGGGAUAUUAUAAUGUUAAUGGCAUGGCAGGUAUGGGAGAAGCAAUCUUCUAUGAGGAAACUACGUAUUGCAUUCAAGGGGGUUGAUGGAAUUGCAGAUAUUGAUAUGGCUGGUGGGGCAUAACCUCUCACCAUCUCAAGAGAUAUAGAACGUGGAUCCUUGGUCAUGCGUGCUAUAUUGUUGCUGCCACUACACUUUCAGAUCUUCAAGGUGAUCAACGAUGAUGAUGAUGAUGUUCGAAGAAGAUUGAUAUGGUCUAGGAUUUGGUGAUAUACAACAAUGCAUUGCUUGGCCGUAUUCCAAUAGAAUGGGAUGAAGAACUAAUUAGGUCGUAUUCGAAUUUGUCUACAAUUGGAGACGCAAUCGGAACAUGCAUUGCUUGGCCUCGCCACUUGGUGAAAGCUAAUGACGAUUUGGAUUGAUGAAAAGAUGAAUAGCUUUGAAAGUGGAGUCUAGAGGUCCCAUUCUAAAACAGUUGGUACCAAAGAGAACCUAUUCUAAAACAGUUGAUAUAGUAUUCACUAUGUAAUAAGCUUCUUUACUCAUGAUUGAGUUCUUUACCAAAAUAUUCCUUGGUGAUGUCUGAAAUUUCAGAUUUGAAAUAAAGCAUUGUUAUAUUGGGAUUAA
Molecule: long non-coding RNA, 1577 nt
Organism: Salvia miltiorrhiza (redroot sage)
Lineage: Eukaryota; Viridiplantae; Streptophyta; Magnoliopsida; Lamiales; Lamiaceae
Exons: 6
Source: RefSeq, a predicted model, not a curated record